Molecule: ribosomal RNA, 506 nt
Filed under: uncultured bacterium
Lineage: Bacteria
Description: partial 16S ribosomal RNA
Rfam family: Bacterial small subunit ribosomal RNA
Source: RNAcentral
GAUGAACGCUAGCGGCAGGCCUAACACAUGCAAGUCGAGGGGCAGCACAGAAACAGCAAUGUUUUGGUGGCGACCGGCGGACGGGUGCGUAACGCGCAUGCAACCUACCUUUAACAGGGGGAUAACGGAGAGAACUUUCCACUAAUACCCCAUAACAUCGAUCAAGGCAUCUUGAUUGGUUGAAAACUCCGGUGGUUAAAGAUGGGCAUGCGUUGUAUUAGGUAGUUGGUGAGGUAAUGGCUCACCAAGCCUACGAUACAUAGGGGACUGAGAGGUUAGCCCCCCACACUGGUACUGAGACACGGUCCAGACUCCUACGGGAGGCAGCAGUGGGGAAUCUUGCACAAUGGGCGAAAGCCUGAUGCAGCGACGCCGCGUGGAGGAUGAAGGUUUUCGGAUUGUAAACUCCUGUUAAGUGGGAAGAAAGAUUCAUACCUAAUACGUAUGGAGGAUGACGGUACCACUAGAGAAAGCACCGGCAAACUUCGUGCCAGCAGCCGCCGUAA